GGAAUCUUCCACAAUGGGCGAAAGCCUGAUGGAGCAACGCCGCGUGUGUGAUGAAGGCUUUCGGGUCGUAAAGCACUGUUGUAUGGGAAGAACAGCUAGAAUAGGAAAUGAUUUUAGUUUGACGGUACCAUACCAGAAAGGGACGGCUAAAUACGUGCUAG
This 161-nucleotide ribosomal RNA is filed under the name uncultured bacterium. Its description in RNAcentral is "partial 16S ribosomal RNA". It matches the Rfam family "Bacterial small subunit ribosomal RNA", at positions 358 to 511 of the family's 1533-position model. The record is from RNAcentral.